ACKGCUCAGUAACACGUGGCUAACCCACCCUCGGGACGGAGACAACCCCGGGAAACUGGGGCUAAUCCCCGAUAGGCGAAGACCCCUGGAACGGGUCCUCACCCAAAAGGCGUCACAGUCAUGCUCUGUAACCUCGCCCGAGGACGGGGCCGCGACCGAUCAGGUAGUUGGUGAGGCAACGGCUCACCAAGCCUAUAACCGGUACGGGCCGUGGGAGCGGGAGCCCGGAGAUGGGCACUGAGACAAGGGCCCAGGCCCUACGGGGCGCAGCAGUCGCGCAAACUUUGCAAUACACGAAAGUGUGACAGGGCUAUCCCGAGUGCCGUCCGCUGAGGGUGGCUUUUACCCAGUCUAGAAAGCUGGGAGAAUAAGGAGAGGGCAAGUCUGGUGUCAGCCGCCGCGGUAAUACCAGCUCUCCGAGUGGUGUGGAUGUUUAUUGGGCCUAAAGCAUCCGUAGCUGGCUGAUCAAGUCCCCUGUUAAACCCAACGAAUUAAUCGUUGGAUUGCGGGGGAUACUGCUCGGCUAGGGGACGAGAGAGGCCGACGGUAUUUUCGGGGUAGGGGUGAAAUCCUAUAAUCCCGGGAAGACCACCAGUGGCGAAGGCUGUCGGCUAGAACGCGCCCAACGGUGAGGGAUGAAAGCUGGGGGAGCGAACCGGAUUAGAUACCCGGGUAGUCCCAGCUGUAAACGAUGCAGGCUAGGUGUUUGGGCGGCCACGCGCCGCUCUAGUGCCGCAGGGAAGCUGUUAAGCCUGCCGCCUGGGGAGUGCGGCCGCAAGGCUGAAACUUAAAGGAAUUGGCGGGGGAGCAC
Molecule: ribosomal RNA, 811 nt
Filed under: uncultured Thermoproteales archaeon
Lineage: Archaea; Thermoproteati; Thermoproteota; Thermoprotei; Thermoproteales
Description: bacterial SSU rRNA
Rfam family: Archaeal small subunit ribosomal RNA
Source: RNAcentral